Sinocyclocheilus anshuiensis is the source of this 1116-nucleotide long non-coding RNA. RefSeq lists it as uncharacterized. The record is from RefSeq and is a predicted model, not a curated record. Lineage: Eukaryota; Metazoa; Chordata; Actinopteri; Cypriniformes; Cyprinidae. The transcript is spliced from 3 exons.
CCCCACCUCAGGUCCCGUCCCGGCCUAACCGCGCACCUCCCAGCGUGCCCAGAAUUACAAUCAGUGACCAAUGAGGACUAACGCUUCUGUGGUCCCUGAGCUCACGGGCCAGAAGACGACACCAAACCCCCCCGAAGGGUAAUAAACUUUCCCAUAGUUCCACAGUCCUUAUUCCACAUGAGUCUUUCCCUCUCUGAAUCACGAGUCUCUUACUGUAUGUAGGCUGAGAAAGUCACUGACAGUAAAGUUGCACACUUCUUUAAACCAGCUUUAAAGCUUCAUGUAAACAUGAAGUCAUUAAGUCAACACUAUAAUAACUUGCACUUAAGCCACAGUUAAAUGUCUGAAUGUCAUUACAUUCAAUAGGGACAAGGGUUUUUCACAGGGGUGUUUAUGAAAACUGAUUCAAAUGAAUCAUAUAUGGUUCAUAUAAUGAUUCACUUUUUCGAAGCGCACGCUGGCGACACCUGCUGGUCGAAACGGUGUAAAUGCAACGAGAACAUAGCACAAUAAGAUAUGACGACGCCUUACAAACCAAUCCAUUUCUUCAUGUGUACUCGAUUAAAUAUAGUCUACAAAUGAUUCAAUAUUAAGUCUAUGUAUAUUUUGUGUUCUAUUAUUAAUUUAUAGUCCUUUGUGUGUUUUUGAGAGAGUUCGAUCAGGCCGAUUAGAGACACGUAUACAUACUUCAUCAACGCUGCUCUUAAAUUAUAAACAUCAGUAAAACAGACACUGGUUCAUGUGUUCACUGAGCUCUUUCAUCGAAACGUUCGUAAUGAAUCACAUGAGUCACUGAUUCAAAUCAAAAGAUUCGAAUCUUCACGCAGCAGUGAUUUGAAAGCGCCCAUCACUAAAGCAAAAUACGUCCGAGUUUAGACUAGUUUAAAUCAGCUUUUAUAACCAUUAAACACUUUGUUUGACAGUUCAUAAUGUUAUUUACUGCACGGCGGCAGAGAAUAAUCCGAGUCUUACCUGUUGUCGAGUCGAUACAAGCUCCUAAUGUUUCCUCAUAUGACAUUUAAACCGGGCUUAGGUAGAAAACACACAAAGUGUGUGUGUGCGCCAUCGUCUCCUGAGGUAAUUCCAACUUAAAACAAAUAAAAAUAUCAAUUAAAA